AACGCGAAGAACCUUACCUGGGUUUGACAUGCACAGGACGCUGGUAGAGAUAUCAGUUCCCUUGUGGUCUGUGUGCAGGUGGUGCAUGGCUGUCGUCAGCUCGUGUCGUGAGAUGUUGGGUUAAGUCCCGCAACGAGCGCAACCCUUAUCGUUAGUUGCCAGCGGGUUAUGCCGGGCACUCUAGCGAAACCGCCUCGGAUAACGGGGAGGAAGGUGGGGAUGACGUCAAGUCCUCAUGGCCUUUAUGUCCAGGGCUACACACGUGCUACAAUGGCCGGUACAAACCGUCGCAAACCCGCGAGGGGGAGCUAAUCGGAAAAAGCCGGCCUCAGUUCGGAUUGGAGUCUGCAACUCGACUCCAUGAAGCUGGAAUCGCUAGUAAUCGCGGAUCAGCACGCCGCGGUGAAUACGUUCCCGGGCCUUGUACACACCGACUGUAC
This 440-nucleotide ribosomal RNA is filed under the name uncultured bacterium. Its description in RNAcentral is "bacterial SSU rRNA". It matches the Rfam family "Bacterial small subunit ribosomal RNA", at positions 958 to 1399 of the family's 1533-position model. The record is from RNAcentral.